RNAcentral lists this ribosomal RNA (680 nucleotides) under Acrobotrissa cribrosa. RNAcentral describes it as "SSU rRNA". It matches the Rfam family "Eukaryotic small subunit ribosomal RNA", at positions 95 to 793 of the family's 1831-position model. The record is from RNAcentral. Lineage: Eukaryota; Polycystinea; Nassellaria; Cannobotryidae.
GGCUCAUUAUAACAGUUAUAGUUUAUUUGAUGGUUUUUUUUCUGUGGAUAACCGUGGUAAUUCUAGAGCUAAUACAUGCCAAUAUCCCUGCCGCUUGCGUGCGGGGAGCAUUUAUUARAUACCAGAAUCAUCGGCCUUCGGGUCUGCAUGAGGACUCAUAAUAACUGAAGAGAUCGAGCUCAGCUCGGCGUAUCAUUCAAGUUUCUGACCUAUCARUUAKUCGGUAGUGUAUUGGACUACCGACGCAUUGACGGGUAACGGAGAAUUAGGGUUCGAUUCCGGAGAGGGAGCCUGAGAAACGGCUACCACAUCUAAGGAAGGCAGCAGGCGCGUAAAUUACCCAAUCCUGACUCAGGGAGGUAGUGACAAGAAAUCACAAUAUUUGGCUCGUUUGGGUUAAAUAAUUGUAUUGAGAACAGGCUAAACAUGUUUACGAUAAACCAUUGGAGGGCAAGUCUGGUGCCAGCAGCCGCGGUAAUUCCAGCUCCAAUAGCGUAUACUAACGUUGUUGCAGUUAAAAAGCUCGUASUUGGAUUUUUAAGGGCGGCUUUCACUAGGGACCUUUCGUGUCUCUAAUGUGGCAGACGCUCCUUAUUUUGCCUCAGAGCCUGGUUGGGAUUCAUUUCUUGAUCAAGCUUCCGGGGCGUGUUUACUUUGAGAAAAUUAGAGUGUUCAAAACA